CCUACGGGAGGCAGCAGUGGGGAAUAUUGCACAAUGGGGGAAACCCUGAUGCAGCGACGCCGCGUGAGUGAAGAAGUAAUUCGUUAUGUAAAGCUCUAUUAGCAGGGAAGAAAAUGACGGUACCUGAGUAAGAAGCCCCGGCUAACUACGUGCCAGCAGCCGCGGUAAUACGGAGGGGGCAAGCGUUAUCCGGAUUUACUGGGUGUAAAGGGAGCGUAGACGGGAGGGCAAGUAUGGAGGGAAAGGCGGGGGCUUAACCCCCGGACUGCUGUUGAAACUGUACGGCUGGAGUGCGGGAGAGGUAAGUGGAAUUCCUGGUGUAGCGGUGAAAUGCGUAGAUAUUAGGAGGAACACCAGUGGCGAAGGCGGCUUACUGGACUAUAACUGACGUUGAGGCUCGAAAGCGUGGGGAGCAAACAGGAUUAGAUACCCGAGUAGUC
RNAcentral lists this ribosomal RNA (440 nucleotides) under uncultured bacterium. RNAcentral's name for it is "partial 16S ribosomal RNA". It matches the Rfam family "Bacterial small subunit ribosomal RNA", at positions 338 to 795 of the family's 1533-position model. The record is from RNAcentral.